Molecule: ribosomal RNA, 433 nt
Filed under: uncultured bacterium
Lineage: Bacteria
Description: partial 16S ribosomal RNA
Rfam family: Bacterial small subunit ribosomal RNA
Source: RNAcentral
AACGAACGCUGGCGGCAGGCCUAACACAUGCAAGUCGAGCGAGGACUUCGGGUCUAGCGGCGGACGGGUGCGUAACGCGUGGGAAUGUGCCCUUCUGUACGGAAUAGCCCUGGGAAAGGGGGAAUAAUACCGGAUAAGGCCUAUUGGCGAAAGAUUUAUCGGAUAAGGAUGAGCCCGCGUUGGAUUAGGUAGUUGGUGGGGUAACGGCCUACCAAGGCGACGAUCCAUAGCUGGUUUGAGAGGAUGAUCAGCCACACUGGGACUGAGACACGGCCCAGACUCCUACGGGAGGCAGCAGUGGGGAAUGUUAGACAAUGGGGGAAAGCCUGAUCUAGCCAUGCCGCGUGAGUGAUGAAGGCCUUAGGGUUGUAAAGCUCUUUUAGCUGGGAAGAUAAUGACGGUACCAGCAGAAUAAGCCCCGGCUAACUCCGUG